Molecule: ribosomal RNA, 502 nt
Filed under: uncultured bacterium
Lineage: Bacteria
Description: partial 16S ribosomal RNA
Rfam family: Bacterial small subunit ribosomal RNA
Source: RNAcentral
AGCGAACGCUGGCGGCGUGCCUAACACAUGCAAGUCGAACGUGAAAGGGAGCAAUCCCAAGUAAAGUGGCGUACGGGUGAGUAACACGUAGGUAAUCUACCCCAGAAUCUGGAAUAACCGGCCGAAAGGCUGGCUAAUACUGGAUAGAGCGACGGAAUCCGUAAUUGGGUUUUUCGGGAAAGGGAGCCUGUAAAAAGGCCUUCGUUCUGGGAUGAGCCUGCGUCCCAUCAGCUAGUUGGUGAGGUAAAAGCUUACCAAGGCAAUGACGGGUAGCUGGUCUGAGAGGACGAUCAGCCACACUGGAACUGAAACACGGUCCAGACUCCUACGGGAGGCAGCAGUGGGGAAUCUUGCGCAAUGGGCGAAAGUCUGACGCAGCAACGCCGCGUGAGGGAAGAAGGCCGUCGGGUUGUAGAGCUCUGUCGAGUGGGACGAAAAUGCUUGGAGUUCACAGCUCCAGGAACUGACGGUACCACUAAAGGAAGCACCGGCUAACUCCGUG